Molecule: small RNA, 557 nt
Filed under: Histoplasma capsulatum var. duboisii H88
Lineage: Eukaryota; Fungi; Ascomycota; Eurotiomycetes; Onygenales; Ajellomycetaceae
Description: Histoplasma capsulatum H88 hypothetical RNA
Source: RNAcentral
UAUACUCAGCUGUUGCCCCCAGUAUCCAGAACCCUAUAUCCACUGCCCCCUUUCGCGGCAUUCCAUUGCCAAUUCUUCAAAGUCCAGCCCUUUCCUGUCUUCACCAUUUCUAUUCAUACAUCCCAUUUGUUCUGACAACUCUGGUGGGCUUUACCUCCCGAGCUCAUCGCAUUUUCAAUCGACAGUUUGCAGCGUUUUCGAUCCAUCCCAUCUGACCUCACACUACAAUACCAUCGAUCUCAUACCACCAUGGAGAAGCCAACGGUAUUUAUCUCAUUCUUUCAGUUGCUGCGGUUGAGUACCAUUGAGGGAUCUAUGUGGCCGAGAAUGCAACUAAAGGGAUCAUCCACCAUGCCAAUAACGCGCAAGGUGGUUGGCCAUACGAGCGCAAGCACACUCAAACCCUUGUCCUCUCAAAAAUGUUAGCAUUGGCCUUGAAAAUUGGAACCAUCCCCCUACCAUAAGGGAAUACCCAAAUCGACCGUAUCCUAGGCAAUCCGAAUAUGAUCUCACAGGAUCCCGGGUUUAGCGUGCCACGGCUCCACACUAUGGGCCAG